This is a long non-coding RNA of Alexandromys fortis (reed vole), 2005 nucleotides long. RefSeq lists it as uncharacterized. Lineage: Eukaryota; Metazoa; Chordata; Mammalia; Rodentia; Cricetidae. The transcript is spliced from 2 exons. The record is from RefSeq and is a predicted model, not a curated record.
GGGAGAUGGAACUGAAUGCUGGGAGGAAGAAAGGCAGAGUCAGAGAGACACCAUGGAUCCACGGCCACAGAUGGACAUGAUGGAACUUUGCUGGAACAGUACUAGAUCAGAAGAAGAUGGUGGCAACCACACAGUCAUGGUCUGCAUGUGUUGAAAGGGGGGAACAGACCCGGUGAUGUCCUGGAGAUCCUGUGAUGUCAGCACAGACCCGGUGAUGUCCUGGAGAUCCUGUGACAUAUAACACAGACCCGGUGAUGUCCUGGAGAUCCUGUGACGUAUAACACAGACCCAGUGAUGUCCUGGAGAUCCUGUGACAUAUAACACAGACCCGGUGAUGUCCUGGAGAUCCUGUGAUGUCAGCACAGACCCGGUGAUGUCCUGGAGAUCCUGUGACAUAUAACACAGACCCAGUGAUGUCCUGGAGAUCCUGUGAUGUGCAGAACACACCUGGUGAUAUUCUAUAGCGCUUGCGCCAAUAGAGACGGGAAGCAGGCCACAGCUGUGUUUAAAACUGCAUUUAGAUGAUGACGAAAGCACAGAUAUCAGUGCGAGAGGGGGCAGGGAGAGCGACAUCCUCGGAUAGAGACAAUAUGAACAAAAUCUGGGAGCUGGAGAAGUGGGGAAACGCUUGCCACAGCAUGAGGGUCUGAUCUCUGAGCCCUAGAACCUAAGGAAAAAGCCAGAUAAGGUGGCAAGGAGGUGCCAAUAAUUUGAGUUGGGGAGAAAGAGCCAAGAGACUCCCUGGGGCUCACCAUCCAGCUCAGUUAGCCUUCUGAACUGGGGAGCUCCCUGUUCAGAGAGAGACCUUGCCUUACACACACAUACAAAGGUGGAGAGCAAUGAAGAAGACAUUUGAUGUUGACCUCUGACCUCCACACAUCCAGAACACCCUAUCACGAACAAAAUCUAGUCAUUUAUGGCUUAAAGAAACACAGUCAUUAAUGAAAUUUUUAUAAAAACUAGAAGAGGAUUAAGGAAAAACAUUUUUUAUAAAAGAAAGAAAUCAAACCAAGAAAGGGAAAGAAAGAGAAAGAGAAAGAAAAACCCCACAGGAGUGGUAUCUUAUAGUCCUACAAAAUGUCAUGAGUCCCACAUUAUAAUUCUGCAAUUCCAUGUGAUCUGUCAUCCAAGCUGAGGAAUACCUGCACACAAGGAAACCCAGAUAUUCAGUUAUCCGGUGGGAAAUUGCACAAUUUUCUUUUUCCAUAGAUAGAAUCGCAGGCUGGCCUUGAACUCACUGAGGGUGGCUGAGGGUGACCUUGAACUUCUGACCCUCUGCUUCUACCUCCCAAGUACUGGGAUUACAGGUGUGUGCUACCACACCUGGUUUAUGAAGUACUGGGGGUGGAGCCCAAGACUUGAUGCCAGCUAGGCAGCAGCCUACCGACCGGCUACAUUCUCAACCCCUUUAUGAAGACUUUCUGUCUGGGGGGAAUUAACACCCAGCCUCUGACCACAAGCCGAGGGAAAUGCCUACGACCCUGUGAAUUAAGGAUUGAUCCUUAAUCCUGAGAGGCCAAGUAGGCCAGAGUUAAGUGUAGUUCCCGUAGAGAGAUGCCCAGAAGAAUGAACUACAGAAAUUUGAGAGCAAGCUUCGGAGUCUUUGACUGAAGGUUACACAUGUGUGUACAGAGUAAAAUCCCACAAUCCAGCUAAGAGUGAAUUUAAGAGCUGGGGCUUCCCAGGAGAUGGUGGCACACACCUUUAAUCCCAGCACUCGGGAGGCAGGGUCGGGCGGAUCUCUGUGAGUUCUCAGCCAGCCUGGUCUCCAGAGUGAGUUCCAGGACAGCUGGACGGUUACACAGAGAAACCUUGACUCUAGGCUCUUCGCAGAGGUGCGUCCUACUACACAAGCCCCUUGGAAUAGAUGAAGAGGUGGGCAAUGACCUGACCUUUCUGGGCCUCAGUUUCUCCAUCUAUAAAAUCAAGGUGGCCCGAGUUCCCAGGCUGAAUCGGAAACCCUCGGCACUGAUGUGCGUUUGAUUGAAGACACUUUCAAAUACAA